AUCUAGACUCCAGAUUGCUGUGCUAUUCCCUGCUGACAGAUGUGGCUGAAACUUGGCUUUCUUGAGACUUCUAGGAAACGGCUGCAGGCCAAGAACAGAAGAAAUGCAAGGUCAGCCCUUGGACACCAUAGCAUAACCUCAUCGGCCAGAGAUGUUUAUCAGUUGUCAAAGAGAUGACCCUACCGUGCGGUGCAACCAGGGACUUGGUGUAAAGUGUACCAAGAGGAGAGAGAAGUGGAGUAGGUGGUUGGAUUACGUCUUGGGACAGAGGGAGCGCAGAGCUGGUGGGGAAGGUGGGAGAAGCGAUGCAUAUGAUCUGCCCCUGGUCAGGGCAGGCUGACACAGGCAUAAUACGGCAUGAGGAGGAGUGAACAAAGUCACAGAGCUGGCAGUAGCCCCUCCUACUGCUGCUUCUCCUACUUCACCAUCCUCUGGUAGCUGCCAGUCUCUUCUCCUAGGUAGCUCUUCAUCUGCCUUUAAUGAUCACUGAUGGUUUGGGCACUUGAACUGCUACCCUGUUUGAUGUGAUCUGGAAUAAGGUUCUUCUUGCCUCUCUCCGGAGGCUCACAUUAUAAACUCCACAGCUGCAGCAGUGAAAGGAUCCUAUGUGCGAUCUCCACUUUGCUUCCAGGAGGUGGGCGGUGGCUAGCUUGUGAUGCCUGCAUUUUCCCACUGGGCAGAAGGUGAGGAGCUCUUACAGCCUCCGGGCUCAACGAGUGAUUGCUCCUCCCAGCGUUCAGCACUGCUGCUCUGUGCAGCAGGACUUAGCAUGCUAAAGUUAAAAGAGUGGAAUUUAAUACUCUCAAGUCCCUUGCAUUCCAAAACCUGGUAUGAAAUCCCUGCUUAUGUUUAAAUAAUCUGCAUGUUUGAGUAAAGGAUUAUGAGCUGGCAGAGGAGGUAGUACUUCCUUUGUUUCCUGCAGGGAAGUGCAGGAGGGAGUCUUUGGGAAAGUCAGCUUGCUGAAGAGCAGAAAGGGCAACCCAGGGAUGCUUCCAGAAAGCUCCAAUCAUGAGUGAGAGCCAAGAGACAGCUGCUCAGAGAGGCAGGAGAAGAAAUAACUAGUGAGAAAUAGCAUUUAAUUACUUCUCACUCCUACCAGUCUGGGAAAGAAGAUCUUUGAUGCUUGGUGGAAAGGGACUGUAUUCUGGUUGUGGCUGAUUAUUCUUCAUCAGGUGAAGAAUAAUGUUCUUGAGCAGCCUCAGUAUCAGAGCACUGCUGCUGCAACCCCUGGUAAACCAUUGGUGGCACUGCAGUGCGACAGACAGCAUGGAGCUGGUCAGGUCUUGAUGCUGGGCUUGGCUUGCUAAUAGUAAAGAUGUUUCAAGAGGAAGAUUGUGCCUGGGCUGAGCUGGAAUACUGUCUGAGCUGAACUGGCCAGCAGCAAGGAUCCUGGGGCUGUGGACAAAGCUACCAGGCCAAAAAGGACCCUUCUGCCUGACGUGUGCAGAAUCCAGCCCCUGGGUGACUGUAGCAGCAGGUAUGAAACUGCCUUGGCUGAGCAUGAGAGAGUAGAGGGCAGGAAGGGUGUGUAUGGAAGAUAAAGGCUUAAAAACUUCCUUUGCUUUGGAUGGAAAUUCAGUUGGUUGCUGCUGAAGCAAAAUGCCUUGACUCUGCCUUUUGACACCUGGAAGCACUUGCCAAAUUCUUCAGGGCUUUUCUCCCCACCACCAACCUCCUCCAUCUGUCAGUCUACUCCUAUCCUUCCUCUACAGCUACAUCAGUGAGAAAGCAGAGCUGGGUGAUGUUAAGCAUGGCCGUUGCUCUAACUGGCCACCUUUGUGGUGCUACACCUGCUUUCACUUGUCUCCUAAGCGGUAAUUGGAGGCGCACCAGGUAAACACCCUGUGACCGCUUGGCAGUUACGCUCUGAAAAAAGGGACUGCAGUCACACGUGGUGAGGACGGGAGGAGCUGCUGCAUGGCCUGCAUCACAGAGCAAGGGACUUACGGGCAAAAUGCAGCUAUUCCGAGGCAGCUCAAUGAAACACACAUAACCUGAACAAAAAUUGAAAGAAGCAGAAUAGGAAAAAAAAAAGCCCACAGUAUUUUUCUCUAACGUUCCCACUACAGACAACAGACACUUUUCUUCCAGCAACUGCCAUGGAUGAAAAUUCAAGGAAAUAAAUAAGGGUUUUCUUUUUUUGGAGAAAAAAAGAAAUUAAGAAUCAGAAAACAAUCAGUGGUAAACUAAAUGUCUCCAACAAUUGUAACCUCAGCUUCACAAAGACUCCAUAUUAAUUUUAGACUUGCUUCUUGUUUAUUUCUAAGUUUAAGCUUUAGUGUACUAAUAAAGUUGACUGAACCAAGGAAA
Molecule: long non-coding RNA, 2310 nt
Organism: Pogoniulus pusillus (Red-fronted tinkerbird)
Lineage: Eukaryota; Metazoa; Chordata; Aves; Piciformes; Lybiidae
Exons: 3
Source: RefSeq, a predicted model, not a curated record